Molecule: long non-coding RNA, 31947 nt
Filed under: Lotus japonicus
Lineage: Eukaryota; Viridiplantae; Streptophyta; Magnoliopsida; Fabales; Fabaceae
Description: long non-coding RNA (LJAP_LNC001663)
Source: RNAcentral
ACAAUUGGUGGAACCUUCAGAGCUUUUUCCACAGAAAGCUUUGGGUACCUGAAACAGCGCAUUGAGCAGGUAUGCCAUGGAGAAGAAUAGAUUCAUAAACUGAAAUCUGAAAUUAUUGAUCUUUUCUAUAAUAAUCUUUAUUUUGGUUGUUAAACCUGAUGGCUUGGUUAUGAUUGUGUUAAACACCACAGAGGAUGUGACAUCAUGAAUAACUUGUUAGCUUACUAUACGUCAAACUUAACUUUUAUUUAUAAGUAACGCUAUAUUGCAUAGGAUCAACUAUAAGCUUAAAUAUUUGUAUAGGUAUAGUCAAGGAAAAUUGAGUGCAGCACUAUAAUAUCAUGAAUUUGUAUCUUAAUUAUUACUUCAUUCAGUCAUUAUUAGAUGAACUAAAUUUAUUAUAAUCAACUUGAAGUUUUGGUGCAUUAAAUUUUUUUUUUUUGACAAGAAUACUCUUACUUAGUUGAAGUUUCUCUCUAUUUCCACUCUCAAAUCUAACACAUUAAUGAUGAAUAGAAAUUAAGAAAAGUGGGUUAUGACUUAUGAGUAAUUUUGAAAAGUUGAUCUAAAUUGAGAACAAAUUUAAUGCUACCAACUACAUUUCUUAAGGUGUGUGACCGUGUAAGGUAGUUAUUUGGUUCAUAUAAUAAGGAGGGGGGUAUCAUAUAUAAAAUCAGGGCACUUAACUGAGAUUAGAAACAUAGCACACACAAACUACAGGAACUAUACUCUGAGGCAAUUUUUCUCUGGUGCAUCACGCAUAAAAGCCAAGCCAACUCAAAUGGGCCCAAAAUCUACUAGAUCUUUAUCCUUUUGUUGCCUUGUGUCCUGCUUGUUGCAAAUAGCAUGUUAACUUAUGGAAUGGAAAUACUACAUACAUUUACAUUUCUGAUCUUUCACUGCAAACUUGGUAGGGGCUAUAAGAAUAUUGGCUCAUUUAUGCAGGUUAUCAUUGGACAAGCUGCUGUGCAGAGGUGCAAUGCAACUGUCAACUUCUUUGGUGAAGUGUAUCCUCCCUAUCCUCCAACCAUAAAUGAUGGUGGCUUGCAUGAGCAAUUUCGUUAUGUUGCGAUAAAUUUGCUCGGUAUUGAUAAAGCUCACAUUGACAUGCCACCGAUGACAGCUGCUGAAGACUUUUCGUUCUAUCAAAAGGUGAUGCCUGGCUACUUCUUUUUUCUUGGAAUGCAGAAGGAUCACCGGGAUCAUUUUUUGCACUCACCGUAUCUCAUGAUCGAUGAAGAAGGACUUCCUUAUGGAGCUGCACUUCAUGCAUCAUUAGCUAUUAAUUAUCUUCAAAAAUAUCACCAAGACAGACCCAUGGAAGAAGGGAAAAAUCGUGAUGAAUUAUAACUGUUUUUAAUCAUUGUAAGCUUCCAGCCUUGUAUUGUAUAUUAAGUUAGAAUUUCCACUCGUAGAACGAUAAUCUUUUGCUGUUAUCACUUUCUUCACUGGACACGUGAGUUCAACGUGAAUAAAUAGCUUUCUUUUCUCUAGUACUCUGAAAUUGAUUACUUCCUCUUUUUAUAUCUGUCAAUUUUUACAGUUUUGACACAUAUUACCAACAAGAUUAAUGUUCUUUAGAGUUGGCAGAACUGUGCUGUGCAUUCUCAUACCACAUUUGGAGGGUAAGGAAUAGGCUGUACUUUGAGGGAAAGGAGACCCCGAAAGUUGUUUAAGCUCAUCAACUCGGGCAAUAGGUGCGUUUCAGCUUUAUGGAAGUUUUGAUUUAUCAAGAUUUAUCUUUUGCCCAGAUGCUACCGCAUAGGUUUGUUGGAUAUUUAAGAUGGAUAUGCUUCUUGGAUUCUUUCCCUGCAAAAAUUAUGUUGUCAUAUGCCAAUAGCAAAUGUAAUACCACCGGAGCUCGUGGAGCUACUCGAAUGCCAUGAAUAGAUUUUGCCACUAUUGCCUCUUCUGGACUUCAAUUAAUCAUAAUUGAAAAGGAAACAAAAGUUACACAACCCAUAACUAGACUAAUCCAAGAUGGAGGAAAGCCAAAUUAAGUAAGGGUGCUUUCCAUAAAAUGUCAUUCAACGCAAUCGUAAGUUUUAAACAUGUCAAGCUUUAAAGCCAUAUGUAUUUCCUACAACCCGCCCCUUAUUUUUCUUUUUUAUAAAGUGAAAGCAUUCAAACUCUACUAAAACAUUAUCUAUAAUGAGCCUAUUAUUAGGUACAAAAACUCUUUGAUUUUCAAUAAUAGACGGUAAAAUAUUUUUCAUUCUAUUUUCUAUUACUUUUGUGACUAGUUUGAAAAGGACAUUACAAAAACUAGUGGGUUGAUGCUUGCUGAUAUAUGUGGAAUUUUUGACCUAUGGAAUGAGAACAAUGACUAUGACAUUGAUAAAAACCUAGAUCUUUUUCGCUAUUAUAAAUCUAAAACACAAAAUUUGUACCCCUCCUGUGUGCCUGGGUCGGACACAUUUGAUUCAAAGCUUCUGCAACUUAAGGUAUGUAUAUUGACAAGAAAGAAACAUGCUAUGGUCCAUUGUAAUUCUGUUUCUAACAAGAGUUGAAGGAUCAUCACCCAUCAUGGUAGGUGAAGUUGAACUGAAGAGUUCUAUAAAAUAUGAGUUGAUCACCUCAGCUAUCUCCUCUUCCACAAAAUUUGAAUUUUUAAAUACUUUACACCAAACUCGUUCCAUUAUUAAACCUAAAUUCUAACUAGUGCCUAACAAUACUAUUAAAUACCUAAUCAUACCUCCAACACAUUAUAUUUAAUAUCUAACCAGUCAUCACUCUUCUCUUCAUUUCAUUCUCUCUCAAACCAAAAGAAACCAUGUCUUUCUGCAAAUGCUUCCAUUUUUUCAUCAUCAUUUUGCAAGUCUUUGCUGCAAUAGCCAUUUUCUCAUUAGCAGAUUCCUCCCUCACCCAAAACCAGCUCUUCACCAACUUCCUAGACACUGCCAAGAAGCCUGAGUUUUUUGAUUGGAUGGUCAAAAUCAGAAGGAAGAUACAUCAGUUUCCGGAAUUGCGGUACGAAGAAUUUGAGACCAGUAAAGUUAUAAGAACAGAAUUGGAUAAGUUGGGGAUCCCCUAUAAACACCCAGUUGCAGUCACUGGUGUUAUUGGCUUCAUAGGGACUGGAAAGUCACCUUUUGUUGCUAUAAGAGCUGAUAUGGAUGCUCUUCCCAUACAGGUAGGUUAGAUUCAUAAAUUGUAUAUACUUUUUUUUCUUGAUAUAUAUGCAAUAUGCUUGAAGCAGGGUUGACUUUUGAUUUCUGAAACUUUUAUGGGAUAACAAGAGCAUUGUUAUUUUUUCCUUUGCUCAAAUUUUAUUGACAUUUGACAAUGUAAAAACCCUAGGAAUUGGUGGAGUGGGAGCACAUGAGUCAAGUACCUGGAAAGAUGCAUGCAUGUGGUCAUGAUGCUCAUACUACCAUGCUUCUUGGUGCUGCAAAGAUUCUCAAACAGCAUGAACAAGAGAUAAAUGUGUGACUUUUAUACUGCCUUCUCUGUUUCCAUUUUCUUUCUAUUGUUCUGUAUACUGUUAUAUAUGUUCUGCUUUAUUUUUUAUUCGUUACUACUCUUCCGACAUGUGGUCACUCGCUCACUGGUCCUUACUGUGUGGGCAUGGUUUCUUACGUUUUUUCUCAUAAAACAAAAUAAAAAUUUGUUGCAUAAAUUCAAUUAUGUCAAAGCCAAGUAGUAUCUCUUCAGUUUCUGUCAAAGAAACAAAUUGCUGCCAAAUCAUUCAAUCAUGCCAACUUUUUUUAUAGUAAAUCACAAGCAUUCUAUCAUCUGUCAUACACAUCCUUAAUUAAUCUUCUUAGAUUUUCUUUUGACUAAAAUUUAGGGUAAGAGUAUGGUAUCCCAAUCCAAGAUAGGAACCGGACUUAAACAACACCUAGAGUAUACUUACAUUUACCACACCUCAAGUGGCCAAGUGGGGGCUUGAGACCUGUCACAUAUGAGACAUUGUCAUGCUUCACUCAACCAAUCCUUUGGGUUUACCUUUUUAUAGUUUAUGUUAGACCUAACUCUACUCCAGAAGUUAGUUAAAGUGAAGUUGCUCAACCCUUUAUCAGAGUACUUUGGUCAUAUCUCUAUUAAACAUGUAACAUCUCAACAAAUCUCCUCUUUCUAUUGUAAUACAAUCUAGAAGACACUAAAGAAGUUGCCCAGCUUAUCAUUCUACUAUACCAGGACAUUCAUCCAUGUCUGCCACAGUGCUACUUUUUCUCUCAAUUGCCUUAUUCUGCUCUCUUCACCCUAUCAUGUAUCCUUGAUAAAUUGGUUAUGUGCUGUCUAAACAGGGAACUGUUGUUCUUGUUUUCCAACCAGGAGAGGAAGGAGGUGCAGGGGCUAAGAAAAUUUUAGAAUCUGGAGCCUUGAAAAAUGUUUCUGCUAUCUUUGGAUUGCAUGUGUUACCUACUCUUCCAGUAGGUGAAGUGGCCUCUAGGUCUGGUCCUAUGAUGGCAGGAAAUGGUCGCUUUGAAGCAAUAAUAAAUGGAAAGGGAGGUCAUGCAGCUAUUCCUCAUACUUCUAUUGACCCGGUUUUGGCAGCUUCCAAUGUAGUUAUUAGCUUACAAUACCUUGUUUCUCGGGAGGCUGAUCCUUUGGACUCCCAGGUAAUUUUGGUUAAUUCUUCAUGUCCCCUUGUUUGCCAUGGUCACUCAUUUAAACUUAUUUUUGUAUGAUAUUCUGAACCCAUAACUAUGUAUGGAUAUCAGAAAGAACAAGUAAUAGGAAAAUAUUGGCAGAGCCUUAUGGAUAACAUUCAUCUGCUUCAUUCUGCCUAAAAUGACUUAUUAGCACUUUUUAACAGUAGAGGUAAUCUGAUACAGCCUUGUUUCUAAGAAUAUUACUACAUUCCAUUCAACAAACCAAGUGGUUAGCUGCCAGUGUUUUAAAUUGCGGUAGUGGUAGAGCAUCCAUGGUCCAUAUAGAGUGAGAACCAUUCUGUUAUUUGCAAGUCCAAACCUUUAUUAAUCCUUCUAAGUUUAUGGAUCACAAGGGAAAGGAUGGGAAAAAUGAGCUAAGAGUGGCGAGAAGCUUUUAGUAUACCAUCAGUGAAAAAGAUGAGAAAGAGAAAUCCAAUUACAAAACAAACUUUUACUGAUAACUGAGGAGUAUGGGAGCUAGACCCUUAGUGUGUGUGUGUGUGUGUGUGUGAACACUUACAUAUGUCAUAAUUAUUAUAUGUGAUAAUUCCUGAUUACUUAAAAACUUAAAGGCUUGUUUAUAACCAAAAUUCUCCUUGUCUUCCUUACAUUUUAUAGGUUGUGACGGUUGCAAAGUUUCAAGGAGGUGGUGCACUCAAUGUUAUUCCAGAUUAUGUCAUAAUUGGUGGAACCUUCAGAUCUUUUUCCACAGAAAGCUUGGAGUACCUGAGACAGCGCGUUGAGCAGGUAUGUCAUGGAGAGGAAUAGAUUCCUUCUACAUGCAUAAACUGAAAUUAAUGGUCUUUUCUAUAAUAUACACCAUCACCUUGCAAUAAUCUGUCCUUUUGUUCUCUAAUUUAUUUUGGUUGUUAAACCUGAUGGCUUGGUUAUGAUUGUGUUAAGCACUAUAGAGGAUGUGACAUCUAGAUUAAUUGGUUAUCUUUGAUAGGAUCAACUACAAGCUUCAUAUAGGGGUAGUCAAAGAAAACUUUGAGUGCCGCACUAAUAUCAUGUUUUUGUAUCUGAUUACUCUCAUGCAAAAAAUCUGGGAAUUUAUAACUGAGAGUAGAAGCAUAGCAUACACAAGCUACCGGAACUAUAUUCUGAGGCAAGGGCAGAACCAGAAAAAGUUGGAAGGGGAGGAAAUUUAACACGAUAAUGAUGAAUUAAAAGAGGCCACAGAAAAUAUUUUAGGGAGACAAAUAACGUUUGAAGACUAUUAAAUGAUUUCGUUCUCUUGGUAGGGGCUAAGGAUGGUUCAUUUACGCAGGUUAUCGUUGGACAAGCUGCUGUGCAGAGGUGCAAUGCAACUGUCAACUUCCUUGAUGAAGCGAGUCCUUCCUAUCCUCCAACUAUAAAUGAUGGUGGUUUGCACGAGCAGUUUCGUGAUGUUGCAGAGAAUUUGCUUGGCGCCAAUAAAGUCCACUUUGACAAGCCACCGGUCACGGCUUCUGAAGACUUUUCAUUCUAUCAAAAGGUGAUACCUGGCUACUUCUUUUUUCUUGGAAUGCAGAAGGCCUCAAAUGAUCACCGGGCUCACUUUGUGCACUCACCCUAUCUCGUGAUCAAUGAAGAAGGACUUCCUUAUGGGGCCGCACUUCACGCAUCACUAGCUGUUAAUUAUCUUGAAAAAUAUCUGCAAGAUGGACCCAUGGCGGAAGGGAAAUAUCGCGAUGAAUUAUAGAUGUUAUUAAUCAUUACAAACUUCCAGCCUAAGUUAGAAUUUCCACUUGUAUGAGUAUGAUAAUCUCUUGCUGUAAUCUUUCUUUUAUAAAAUAUUUUGAUAAUGUGAAUCACUUACUUAACUGGUUACUUCUCACUAACUAUAAUCUAUUUGUGCUGUUUAAUUUUCCGAAGCUCAUAUCAUAGAAAAAUGUUACUUUUUUUAUGAAUGUAUAAAGUAGACUCCAUUUCUUUUAUGUCUUAUGUGUUGGGUUAUAUAUUCCAAUUCUUUAAACUUCUAAAUUCUUGGCAGACGUUUUAGGAGCUUCAUUGUGCUAUUUACACUUGACAAAGCUUGGUUUAUUAAUCUGUUAAUUAGAUAAAUCCAUUUUAUCUGAAGUAUAAAGUACUUGAUAAUAUUUAUUUUGCUAGUAGUUUCUCUGUAUUCAGUUCCCGCAGACUUAAAGAACUAUAAGUGUGCUAAAUUAGAAGAAAUAAGUAGGAGUAUUUUGCAGUUUGUGGUGGUUACAACACCAGUAAAAUUUGAGUAUGAGUAUUGCUAAUACCUAAUGGUUUUUGUGGUGGUUAAUCAGGCCGUUUCAAACUGCCAGUACCGCCAUUCAACCAGUGGCGGUUGGUCAAAACUGCUGCAAAUUGAUCACCUGAGGCUGCUUUCUCCCAACCGCUGCAGUAUAUAUUUGCGGCGAGUGAAACCACCGCCGCAAGAUUUUUAUUAGUCUUUUCUAAUUUGCAGGUUUCAUUGAAGUGACGUGGCUGUUUCUUGUGUGGACUUAUUCCCCUUGCACAAACAUUUUCUUGACAAUAUGAUCGGCCAUAUUGAAGAUUUGUGUUGUGAGAAACAUAUUAAAUCCUUGGCAUAAUCUAAUGGUGGACGAAUCUGCACGAGCCAUUUUACCGUGAGUAUUCAACGCAUAAAUGUUGAUGUUGGGCGCACAUAUGACAAGACUGGAUGCACAUAUGCGCUCAUGUGUCACGUGAAGCAUCCCCAAUAUGAAAUUAGCUAGAACUUGUGCUACAAGCCUAGCAAGACUCGUAUGAAAUAUUAUAUUUGAAUAGCUCAACUGACCAAACUAUUAUCCGAUUAGUAAGAUCCAACUUAUAGAUUACCUGUCUAAUGGGUUAAUCCGUGUGAACCAUAAUCUUGCGGGUUUGAAUAUACUGCCUCAAUCUCCUUGCAAUUACAAUUAGGGUGAAAACUAUUUUUCUCAAUUUUUGAUAUAUGAUUUUUUGACCUUGCAACAUUUUGCUUACAAAGUAGACCACAGCCUUUUCCCCUCAUGAAUUUCUCAAAUUAGCAUGACAUUUACCGUCUCCUCAUUGAUCCCUAGGUAGAUGAUGCUUGGCCAGAAUUGAUGCUAACCCGGAUAACUUGCUUUUCCCUAUCAGCCUGCGGCGGCCUGCCUGUCACACUUUGAUGACUUUUUUACCUGGGUAGUGUAAAUUUGGAGUUUAUUUACCAAUCUAGUGCAACUUUUAAAAUAUUUACGAGACUAGCGUAAAUCGUCACUAGCAUCGGCGAUAUAUUUUUUUUUCUUCUCAGCUUUUGGAGAAAUCGCCAAUGGGACUGACGAUAUUCAAUUUUUUGUGGUAUCGUCAAUGCGGUUGGCGUUAAUAUUAUAUAUAUAUAUAUAAUAUAUAUUAAAAAAAAGAGUAUCGCCAUCAUGAGUGGCGAUUUUAAUCUUUUAUAAACAAUUUUUUUUGUUUUAAGCAACAACGCCAACACCAUUGGCGACUUCUUUUUAUUUUCAAUACUAAAAACAUAAAUAUAAUAGCCCUGAUUGCAUGCAUGGAUGUUUUUUUUUCUUACAUGCAUCCAUUUAAUAUAUAUUUAGGUUUUAAAACUAUUAAGUAUUAACUACGUCAAGGUGGAAAAAAAAACAGAAGGAAGCGAAUCCUAUAAGCAUUAAUGGUUUAAAAUUAAAAAUAACACCAACACUAACUGCGACACUUAAAGAAAAUAUAUAUAUAAUAUUUGGUUAACGCCAAUCUCAACGGCGAUACUAGAAAAAUAUAUAUAUGUCGCCACGGCUGUUGUCGAUUUAACUCAAAUGAAAAAUAUGAAAAAUAUAUAUAUAUAUAUAUAUAUAUAUAUAUAUCGCCGAUGCUAGUGGCGAUUUACACUACAUCCGUAAAUAUUUUAAAAGUUACACUAGAUUGGUAAAUAAACUCCAAAUUUACACUACUCAAGUAAAAAAGUCCACUUUGAUGAAGAAAAUUGCUUCGCCAGCUAACCGGGAUCACUGUGUCACGUAACGUGAGUGUAGUCUUUUUCUACUUUUAGUUUUUGUUUUCUUCUUUCCCCCUUCACAUAAUCUGACAUAUAACCAGUUGUUUUUAAUGCUUCCCACAUGUCGUUUUUUUUUGGUAGAUACAUGUCGUUGAACUUGAUAGCGCUCUGAGAAGUUGUUUUUUUAUGUCUAAAUUACUAAUAUUUAAAUUAAGGAAGUACAUGCGUGUAACACAUGGGUUUAAAAUACAAAAGUUCUGAUUUUUGAGUGCGUGUAAUUUUGAUGAGUUUAGACCGUCAAUCCACUAGAAUUUAAAGAUGCAUCACAUCAUAUCAAUCAAAUAAAUUAUUUUUGGCCUAAUUUUUUCAAAAUUCCCAAGGGCAACUUAUUAUUUUUUCAAACUCUUGAAAAAAACGUAGUAUUUAAUUUGACCAGCUUGUUUUUUUUUUAAGUUUUCGCAGCGUUUGGUUGAGAGUUUGAAAAUAAAUUCGAAGGAAUGAUAUAUUUUUUGAAAAGAGAUUUAUUUAUUUCUUUAAAAAAUAGAGAUUUAUUUAUUUAUUAGCCUAUGUGACAGGUCUUCUUAACAAAUGAAGCUCAUUUUCAUCUUAAGAACUAGUGGAAUUACCCGUGCCCUGCACGGGUGACUUUUGUUAUUUACAAUUUAAAUUUCAUGUAAUAUUAUGUUUUGUAUCUUUUUAGUAAAUAUACUUUAACAAUUGUUUCAACUAUAUGUUAUUAAUAGUGAUAAUUGUGUAUUAAUCUACCACAAUUUUUACUUAUUUAAAUAUGAAAAAAAUUAAAUAUUUUAAAUUAUAAGACUUAAAUUCACUCAAAUUUUUAUAUAUGCAUUAAAUCAGUAUUUUAAUUUUUUAAUACAUGUUUAAUUAUUAAUAUUUGAUUGAUUAUUUUCAAUAUCAAUGUUUCUAUUUAUAAUUGCAAUAACACUAAUAAUAAUAUAUAUAUUUUGAUUCAAAAUGUUUGGUGAAUGUGCAUUUCCUUAAGGGAUUUCACCUAGACUUCUGGCCCGGGUUCGAUCUCCUCUAAGGUAAAAUAUAAUACAUUUGUGGUUAGGGACAUCACUACCGUAUCCCGAGCCAGAUUACUCACGUUGGGCCCUUUUCCCCCGUGGUGACUGGUGGGCUUCUCUUAUUUUUGAAUAAACUCUCAUGUGACUAUUACUUUUAAGUUUGAACCCGUUCCCCUUUUUUGUCUUUGGCUCUUCGAUCGUACCUUUGGUAACCACCGCCUACCAGGGACGAUGGAGGAAAAAUUCAUUUUAUCAAUCCAAGCAGAUAAAUUGAAGGAUUUUCGUCUUUCCCCUUCAUGAUUUAAAAAAGUGGUGAAACAAUAUAUGAUGGUAAAUAAAAAAUGGAUGAAUAAGUAAUUAAUAGGAUCAUGAAAUAGGGGCUUCAUAACCGAACCAAACCAAUUAAAACCGCUCAAAUCGAUCAAAAAAACCAAAAACUGAAAAAACUGAAAACCGCAAAAAUCAAUAUUUUGCUAAUGGAUCGGAUUGGUUUUCAGUUCCAAUGUUCUAAAUUGAGCCGAUCCAAACCAAACCGAAAGUAUUUAUUUAUUUAAAUUUUGACAUACAUAAUUAGCCAUUUAACAAAACUUAUAAUAUUUUAUUCCAUGUAUACCCAAGCCUUUACAGUAAUGUGUUUAACAUUUUCCAAGUUAGGAGACAUAUGUCUUCUUUUCAUUCAGCGAAAGUGAAACAUAUCAUUGCGUACAUAAUUCAUUUCUUACAGUAUUGAUGUUAGUGUUAAGCAUGAUAUCUUGUCUCUGUAACUUUUACAGUGCUUCUUGUUUUAUGAUUUUAUUUUCUAUUUCGUUAUGUAUUUCAUGAUUUUUAGUUUCUUUGAAAAACUGAAAUCCAAUCCAAUCCAAACUGAUAAAAAUUGGAUCAGAUUUGAAAAAAAAAAGAUUGGGUGAUUAAAUUAUAAAACCGAAACGAUCGGAUCAGAUGAUUUUUUCCUUUAAAACCAAAUCGCGAUCACCCCUAUCAUGAAACAUGAAAUAAAUCAUUUUACACAACAAAUAAAAAUGAGUGAAUAAGAGGAUAAUGUAACCAAUAAUAAACUUAUAAUAUUGCGAAUUUGCGAUCAUAUAGUGGUGGGGGAGAAUUAAAAAAUAAAAAAUGGAAAUAAAACUCUGAAAACAUUAAAUCAAAAUAAGAUAAACACAAUGCCACAAAGAACGUGUGAAAGAGAAUGUUAUAGAUUAAAGAAAUAAUGUGAGAAAUGUCUCAAAAGAGAAAAUGAAUUCUCUAACCAAUGCACAUGUAUAGCAAAAUUAAUUAUUUUUGCAUUAAGAUAAAAUUAAAGCAUUACCUUGCACAUGAUUGAUAAAUUAUUUUUCUCUAUAGUUGUUUUAAAUGAAAGAAAAAUUGAAGGUGAAAGUUCCUUAACAUGAAAUUGAAUAAAGAAUUGAGAAACAGAAAAAUGAAAGGGAGGAAAGAGAGGAGUAUGAAAAAUAUGGAAGAAAGUUGAAAAUACUUACCAUGGAGUAGACGAACGGAGAAAAAAACAGGAUGGGCUUUUUUCAUAAGAAAUUUCAAAGAUGGGAGGAAGAAGUAUAAGAUGAAUAGGAAAUGGAGGAAAAUGAAAGUCCUUGCCUUGUUUUCGAGGAGGUAUGCACAAAAGGAUGCUGAAAUAUUUUGAUUUAUUAAUGUUUAAUUUUUUCCUAAAAUAAAAUACUCAUUAUUGGUCAAUGAAAAAUUAAUCAGAAAUUAAACAUAUCAACAAAAUUAUUUGUAUUAAAUGUUCUAAGGAUUCAUUAAUUAAAUUAUAUCAAAAUGUUAUAGAUUAAAUAAAUAAUGUGAGAAAUGUCUCAAAAGAGCAAAUGAAUUCUCUAACCAAUGCACAUGUAUAGCAAAAUUAAUUAUUUUUGCAUUAAGAUAAAAUUAAAGUAUUAUCUAGCACAUGAUUGAUAAAUUAUUUUUCUCUAUAAUUGUUUCAAAUGAAAGAAAAAUUGAAGGUGAAAGUUGCUUAACAUGAAAUUGAAUAAAGAAUUGAGAAACAGAAAAAUGAAAGGGAGGAAAGAGAGGAGUAUGAAAAAUAUGGAAGAAAGUUGAAAAUACUUACCAUGGAGCGGAGAGAAAAACAUGAUGAGUUUUUUUCAUAAGAAAUUCCAAAGAUGGGAGGAAGAAGUAUAAGUUGAAUAGGAAAUGGAGGAAAAUGAAAGUCCUCACCUUGUUUUCGAGGAGGUAUGCACAAAAUGAUGCUGAAAUAUUUUGAUUUAUUUAUGCUUAAUUUUUUCCGAAAAUAAAAUAUUCAUUAUCGGUCCAGGAAAAAUUAAUCAUAAACUAAACAUAUCAACAAAAUUAUUUGUAUUAAUGUUCUAAGGAUUCAUUAAUUAAAUUAUAUCAAUUUAAUUUCGAAAAUGUGGAAUAUUUCAUUUUAAAAAUUCAAUUCUUUAAUUAAUCUUGUCUAAUUUAAUUAAAUUUUUUUCGUUAUUUCUUACAAAUUAUUUCAUUGUUCCAAUAAAUUAUCAAUUCUUGAGCAUCAAGGUUUUUAAAAAUUGAAUUUCAAAAGACAAUUAAUUAAACUCAUUAAUUUUAGGAAUUAAUUAGAGCCAUUAAUUUCAAUUAUAAGAAAUAAAAAUUGUAGUAUCUAAAAUAGGAAUAUUUGUUCAAUUGCAAAAUUUUCGAAAAAUUCAAAAUAAAAAUAAAUGAUGCUGAAAGUUUUAAAAAAUAUAUUUAUUUUAGUUUCAAAAAUUUAUUUGCCAAGGAAAUUUGAAUUUCAAAAAAAAAUUUAAUUUAUCUUUUAAAAUCAUUUUAACCAUGAUAUUACAGAAAAACAAAUAAAUUAAUUUUAGAAAAAUAAAAAUUAAAAGAUCCAAUAUUUAUUUCUAUUUGAAAUAAUUACGAAUAUUUAUUAUAAUUAUUUAGCAUAUUAUUAAUUAAAAUAAAAGGAUUCGAAGUAUUUUUAUGAAUCGUAUAUAUCUUAAAAAAGAAUUUAAGGGAAAAUAAAAAUUGAAUUUUUUUAAUUAGAAUUGAUUAUUUUCAAAAAGUUUAAAUCUAAUAAUGAAUUUUUAAUAAUGAAUGAAAUGAAAUAGUUUAGAGAUGUUCAUGUAUUGUAUAAUGUUUUCGAAAAUAUGGAGGGGCAGAAAAUAAUAUUAUUUGGAAUUUAUAUCCUUACUUUGAUAGUUUUUAUAAGUAUUAAUUAUGUUUUAUUCUUAAAAAAUAUUUUACCUAUAUUAAACUUAGCAAUUAAUGUGACAAAAAAAAGUGGAAAUAUAUAUAUUUUUGUUUUGGAAGGAAAAUGAAUUACUUAUGAGACAUGUGGCACAGGUCUUCUAGAAGAAAACCUUCUUUUCAUAUAUAUAUAUAUAUAUAUAUUGAAAAAUUAAAAUAACAUUUACGUUGAAAAUUAAAUUAAUUUUAUUUACUGAUUUUUUAUUAUUUUUGUUCUAUUUUCGAAUUCAAUUUGUUUUAUUAUAUUAGAUAUAUUUUCAAAUAAAAUUCCUAGUGAAGGUUACAUAAAAAAUUGAAAUUAAAAAUCAAUAUUAUAUAUUGAAAAUCUGUACUUUCGUAACACAUGAAAAAUUAAAAUAAUAAUUACGUUGAAAAUUAAAUUAAAUAGUAUUUUUUCCGAUUUGAGAUUAUUUUUGUUUUAUUUUCGAAUUUAAUUUUUUUUCUUAUCAUAUUUGAUCUGUUUUCAAAUAUAAUUCGAAGUAAAGGUUAUAUAAAAAAUCGAAAUUAAAUAUUAAAUAUUAAAAAAUUAAAACAUUAAUUGCAGUGAUAAUUAAAUUAAAAAGGAUUUAGAAUAUUUUUGAACUUCUAAAUAAAGGUUACAUAAAAAUUGGAAUUACAUUAAAUGAUAUUAAAUAGUGUGAGUCAUGAUAGUGUGUUGUGACAAAAAAGUAGAAUGAGUUUUUUUUUCUUGGAGGGAAAUUGGAAGAAUUUGGGGGUGACAUGUGGCAUAGGCUUCUAGAAGGAAACAUUAUUUUCAUAUAUAUAUAUAGAUUGGGGGUUUGAAUUACGUUGAAAAAAGAAAGAAUUGAUUUUAUAUUUGUAUGUUUUUAUUUGAUUGGUGGGGUGUUAAUCAGUAUAGUAAGUGAAUAAUUAUGAACUGGACGCCGGCGCGAUGGCAGCGGCCGGUGAGACAAGCGGGGAAUAAUUAUGAACUGGGUCAAGGUUGGCGGCAGCCUUAUUAUUCAUGGGGAACCAACAUUGACCGAUGGCAUAACAAUCAAACAGAUAAGGGAGGAUUUCGAGCAAGACAGUGGCAACAUGAAGGUGGCAGAUCAGAGAGGUACAAGUCGAAAUGGAAACAGACAUUGUAUGAGAACAAGGGUGAUCCAAGGACCACACAUCCAGGGCACGAAUCUGAGCAACAAAACAGCGAACCCGUAAACAAUGCAUCACAACGAUUCAAGCCACAACAUAUAUCCUUUUCAGUUUUUGUGGAUGGCCUGGGAGACAGGAUGACGUAUCAGAAAUUGCAGACCACUUUUGCGAAGGCUGGGAAACUCCAUUCUGUAUUCAUUCAGCAGAAGAAGAAAUAUCAUCGACGCUUUCGUUUUGGCUUCUUGCGAUUCAACAGCGACGAUGAGGCAUGGAAGGCGAUUCAGAUGUUCCAUGGUCAGAGAUUAGAUGGAAAUUACCUUGUGGUCCAGAAAGCAAAUAUACAACGCCCGCCACGAUCGCCUGGGGUGCCUUCAUCAGGAAAUAAUAAGGUUGAAACCAAAAGGAAAAUUUGGAGACCGAAAGCAAAGCAACAUGACACAGUUCAAGAGCCUCUCCAAAUAAAUAAGGAUGUUUCUGGGCAGAUGCAAGGUGCUGUUAAGCAACCUACUGAAUGUCAGCUGCGUCUUGUUGGCGCUGAUUUAGAUGUAGAAUGGGUCAAUAGGUGUGCAAAGGCACGCACUCUGCUGUCUAUGCCUGUGGAAAUUUUACAGGAGCAAUUCAGGCAAAUUGGUUUGUUUAAUUUUCGACUGAUUCCAUUGGGUGCAGAUGCAGUUAUUCUGGAAUUUGAAACUAAGGAAGACAUGGAGGAGACAAUUGCAGAGUGCAGUUUCUUUUUAGAGCAGAAGUUAUACGAUGUACAGCCUUGUACUGUGCUUUCAUUUGGCGUGGCUCAGCUUGUAUGGAUUCGUAUGUGGCAGGUUCCGUUGGGAUUAUGGACUGAAUCCUUUUUCACCUCUGUUGGGAACAGGCUAGGGACAUAUGUAAUGUCUGAUACUGCCACUCUGUUACACCACAGAGCUGACUUUGCACGAAUUUUGGUUCGGAUGCAUCAUCCAAUUUUGCACAGUUUUACCAUGGCGGUUGAUGUUAAUGGUACAACCUGUAUUGUUUUGGUUGAGAAGGACCCGACAGUAUAUGAUUAUGGGGUUGUAGAAGCUAUGCCAUCGACACCGGUCAAAAUCUACAACUCAGAGGAUGAAGAAUGCAAUGAUGAAAGCAGCAUGGAUGAGAAGGAACGGGAAGCAGAUAUGGUUUUCACUGGUGCAUCAAAACCUGAUGCAAAUGACUAUGAAUCAGUGGUUGAUGUAGGGACCGAUGAAGAGGAUGAAGCAUUCAGGGAUGGUGCUGCAGAGGGUUUGCAGGUUUGGGUGGAGGAGCAUGUCCAAGCGCAGCCAAUUGUUUGUGUGGAGGAGCGCAAUUCCUUGACGGCGGAGGGAGAGGUGCCGCAGAUUCAAGGAUUUUCAAAUUCAAACAGCAAGGCAAAAAUUCAAACGGAGACAGCUACUAUUUCACGUGAGAAGCGUGAGGAACAGUUACAGGUGCUGGUUGAAUCAAGAUACACGUUACAGGAGAUUAAUAUGUGGAGAAAUAAUUUAAAAACAGAAGAUAUCUGUUUAAAUGCUAGCCAAAUCUUAGCUAAUUCGGUUCAAAAUAAGGAGAAGGGAUUUUCAGUUACAGGAUAUUCCUUUGAUACUCAAGAUUUGAACCAGAAAUUAGUUUUUGAUUGUUCUCUUAAUUCUUUAAAGCGGGACCCGUGUGUGUUUACUCAAAUUAAAAGGGUUGAGCCAUGUUUGCCUUUCAUGACAACUAAAGAAAACGGGUUUUAUGGCCUAGCAGCAACUUCUGCAAAUUCUCCAGCUUCUGAGGCACGUGGAAUAACUGAUAUCUUUGUACGUAAAACACCUCAUCAGAUAAUCAGGCAGCGAGCAAAUCCUCAAGCAACAGCACGCCUUGCUUCUUCUCCUCAAACGCACUCUCCACCGUGCUUCCCCAUCACGCAUCAGGUUGGUCCAUUUGCUGUUAACGCCUCUGUGACUCCGAUACAGGCAGAAACACCAACAACAAAUUCCUCCAAAAAGAGUUCUCAGCGGGGACGUCCAAAGGGGAGUAAAAAUAAACCGAUAGCUCUCCCAGUUGAUUUCUUAGAGCCAGUGCAGGGUGAAGACGGGGUGACAACUCGAGCUCAGAGAACCUGGUUACUUGGUAAACAAUUGGGGCUGAAACCGCGAGGAUCAGAAGCUUUGAUGCUUCGUGGUUUAGAGGCUCAGAUUCGUCAAAAUCAUCCCCAUCUCAUUUAAUAUGUCGGGGUCGUGGUUGACUUGGAACGUUCGUGGGCUUGGAGAUAGAACAAAAAGAGAGGCAGUCAAAAAGGCAGUGAUGCAAUUGAAACCAGAACUUGUGUUGUUACAGGAGACUAAAUUAAAUGAACAAAGGCAGCGUACAUUAGCUUCUUGGUCUCAAAGCUUGAAUAUGCAGCAUGCUGAAUCUUCCUCUGUUGGCUCAGCGGGGGGACUGAUGUGUUUGUGGCGGGAGAGUUAUCUGCAGGUCUUGUCAGUGGCAGUUGAAACAUGGUUUAUUCUUAUGACUGUGAAACUUCCUAAUCUUGAUAAUACAGUAUUGGUAGGAAAUGUCUAUGGCCCUCAUUCCGAGGCGGAACACAGAUAAUGUUUUGAGGCUCUUAUGCAACGUGUUAUGCGCCAUGGUGGUUUGGUGUGUCUUGGAGGUGAUUUUAAUGUAGUUCUGCUUGGAUCUGAACGGUCUUCAAGAGGUGUUUUAGAUGCGGGAGAUUUAUCCUUCCAACAGUUUGUGCAGGAUAGUAACUUACUGGAUUUGCCUCUGACCAAUGGAGAGUAUACUUGGUUCUCAAGCCGCAAUGAGGGGCUGUGUCUCGCCUGGAUCGUUGGCUGUUGUCUGAAGAGGUUAUGAGAAACGUUUUGGGGCUGCUGCAUAUUUUUCCAGCUGCUGUUUUGCUGAGAUAUCGAAAUUUGCUAAUUGCUGUUAGGAGCUUGCUGUUUUUAUUGUUGAUGUAUGCUGGUGCUGAUGUUAAUUUUGUCGUUGAUGUUGCUGCUGUUGAUGAUAUCGCUGUUGUUGUCGUUGCUGUUUGCUGCUGAUGUUAUUGCUGUCUUAGUUGCUGUUGCUGAUUUCUGUUUUGCUGCUGCUAUUACUGGUAUUUCUGUUGCUGUCGUUGCUAUGUUGUUGCUGCUGUUGCUGUCAUGUUUUCUCUGCUGUCGUAGAUAUCUAUUCUGCUGCUGUUGUUGCUGAUAUUGCUGUUGCUGUCGUUGCUAUGUUGUUGCUGACGGUGCUAUCCUAUCAUUGAUGUUUUUCCUUGCUGUCUUGCUGAUGCAAACCGCUCCUGUUUGGUUUAUGUGAUUUUGCUGUUUGGUUUUGGAGUUUGUUUUAUUGAUGACUAUUUCAAGUCUGCUACUCUGCAAAGGAAUAUCUACAGCGUCAGCAUUAAAUUCGAGCUUGUUAAUUAGUUUUGGUUUAGUUGCAGUUUGGUUUUCCCAUGUUGGUGGUACUCUUUUUCCUUGUUAGGUUUUUAUCCCAUUGGGUUUUUCCUAGCAAGGUUUUAAUGAGGCUCCUUCUUGGGAUUCUGUUAUAUGCCAUUCUGUGGGUUGGUGGUGGGUUUGUGCACUUUCAAUUUGCACCUUUGCUAUUGUAAUGAUCUUUCUUGGACAUCUUGUACUUCCUUCAAUCUUGGGUCAUAUUUUAGGCUCAGGCUUUAUUAUUAAUAAUAUACAUUUCGCUUUCAAAAAAAAAAAGUAAGUGAAUGAUUUUACUUUUUAAGGAUUUUAUUAUUUUAAUAGUUUUUUCAAUUUUCAAAUAAUUUUUUUUAUUUUAUAAUAGGACUUAUAUUUUGGUUUUCUAUUAAAAUAUUAAAUAAUAAAAAAAUAUUUUAGUUAAAUAAGUUGAAACAAGUACUUUUUAAAACCCAUGUAUGAGAAUUAACGCUAAUACCCUACUCGGAGCCUGCACACUUGAAUGGUAUGUUUGGCUUGGAGAGAAAGGGAGAGGAAAGAAAAGUGGAAGGAAAGAAAGAAAGAGAAAUGAGAGGAUUUUUAAAGUUGUUUAGUUGGAGAGAAGGUGAAAAGAAAAGUGGAAGAAAAGAAAAAGUUGUACUUAUAAAAUAACAUAAAUAUCCUUAGAUAAAAAGAAAUACAAUAACUAACUAUUUUAUUAAAAAAAGUAUUUUUAUACCUGUAUUACGAUUUUAAGUUUAUUUUUAAUCUUUGCAAUAAAAAAGGUUGAUUUUAAUUUUUUUAAGUAAAAUAUUUUCGAACUAUAGAAUUUAAAAAAUGACGGAAAUCUAUUACUAUACAUAAACUAAUCAAAAUGAAAAAUAAUUGGUGAACACCUAAUAAUAACAAAUGCCCACACAACUCAUGGUUUGUGAGGGAUUAGAAACCGCCACAAAUUAGUUUUUAACCCUACAAACUAAGGGAGGGUCUUUGUGUGUUUACUAUUUGGGUGUUCAUGGUCAGGGCCGGCCCUGGGCCUGUGCAAGCAGGCCCACAGCCUAGGGCCUCCAAAAUGAGGGUGCCUCAAAAAAAAAAUUGAAUACCUUUUACAGUGUUUUUCUUUAAGAAAGCGCUGUAAAUAGUCCGUCUUUUACAGCACUUCGAACCGCUGUAUACUAUUUUACAGCGGCUAGAGGUCCGAAGCGCUGUAAAAAGCGUUUUUUAAGUUUAAUGUACCUAUUAAACUUUCUCCAAAAAAAAAUUUAGGGGUCCAUUUUUAUUAUUAACACAGGGCCUCCAAAAUGUCGGGACCGGCCCUAUUCAUGGUUAACUAAUCAUUUUUGAAUCAAAAUAAAUAAAAUUAUUUUUAGAAAGAAUAAAAUAAAAUUAUUGGAACAUAAGGCACACGUGUUUUUCAAUGUGUAGCUCCUUUUCUUUCCAUUUUGAGCGGAAGCAUUUUGGGGUGGGACCCACUUUAUUUUUUCUUUCUUUCCUAUUUUGUAAAAAAACAAAACAAUACAAAAUUGGAAAGAGGCCCGAAGAUAACUCCUAGCGGACACCGAAGAUAUGGAAUAUCUAACGAGGCCCGUAGAGUGGGACCUACCCCUCUUCUAUUUAAGAAAGUUGUUUGCCUUAAACUCUUCAUUGUGGUUUUUGAUUCCUUCACUUCAUUCUAUCUCACACCAAAAGAAACCAUGUCUUCCUUCAAAUGCUUCCAUUUCUUCAUCAUCAUUUUGCAAGUCUUUGCUGCAAUACCCAUUUUCUCACUAGCAGAUUCCUCCCUCACCCAAAAUCAGCUCUUCACCAGUUUCCUAGACACUGCCAAGAAACCUGAGCUUUUUGAUUGGAUGCUCACUAUCAGAAGGAAGAUACAUCAGUUUCCUGAAUUGCUCUAUGAAGAAUUUCAGACCAGUGAACUCAUAAGAACAGAAUUGGAUAAUUUGGGCAUCCCCUAUAAGCACCCAGUUGCAGUCACUGGUGUCAUUGGCUUCAUAGGGACUGGAAAUCCACCUUUUGUUGCCUUAAGAGCUGAUAUUGAUGCUCUUCCCAUGCAGGUAGAUUUUGAUACUUUUGAUUUCUGAAAUUUUCAUAGGAAAGAGUGUUGUUUUCUCUUCACUCAAAUUUUAUUGACGUUUGGUAAUGUAUAAACUUCAGGAAAUGGUGGAGUGGGAGCACAUGAGCCAAGUAGAUGGGAAGAUGCACUCAUGUGGUCAUGAUGCUCAUACUACAAUGGUUCUUGGUGCUGCAAAGAUUCUCAAACAGCAUGAAAAUGAGCUAAAAGUGUGACCUUAAUUUUAUACUGCCUUCUCUGUUUCCAUUUUCUUUUUUAAUAUUGUUAUGCUCCCUCCUCCGGUCAUUUUUAUAAGAAAAUUUUGAUAAAAUCACACAAACCAAGGAAACUAAUCUUUUUUAUAAAAUAAACUAUUAUGUUUAAUUUCAAUGAUGUAUUUUCCUUUUCACAAGAACAAUCAUACUAAUUAUCAUAAAUGUUGACAAUACCUAUUGGGUGCUUUUAAUUUCCAUCCAAAUUUUUUCAUGGGGAAUAAGUCUCUUUGCAUUGGAAUGAAUUAUUUGACUUAAUUUUAUAAGAGUGUUUCUUAUAAAAAGGACAAAAAAAAAUUACUAAAGUGUUUUUUAUAAAAAGGACCGGAGGGAGUAUGUGUUUAGCUUUAUUUAUCCAUCCUAAAAAAUAUAUAGCUUAACCAGUAAAAGCUAAGAUGUAAGUGGCGUGUAAUCGUGUAUAGACAUUUUGAAGCCUAAAACGAAAAUGUCGAAGUUAUUUUUUUAAUAAAUUACUAAUUUUUUAUAUUAAUCUCCACUUUCUAAAAAAUAAUAAACAAUAGAACCUUGAAUAAAACAAUGAGAAAUUUUGUAAUACUUUAAUAUUUUGUAUUUCGUUUGAUAAUUCACUUCAAGUUUGAAACAAUGAUUUUUUUUUAGAGAAGAAACAAUGAAUGAAGAACAAACUUGUACAAUAUAUAAAUAUAUAAGUCAUAAAAAAAAAUUAAUGGUUAUAAGUAAACACAAUUUUUUUCUCUCAAAUCUCGAUUGUAUAUAUCAUAUAUGUGUGUACUAAUUUAUUUUUUAGAAGCCUAAAACAACCGAGGGGCCUAAGACCAUUGUCUCACUUGUCUGAGGCCAUACACGACCCUGUGUAAGUGCAAAGACCAAUCCCUGCAAACAAAGGAUAAAACCCCUCCCCGGAAUAAAAAAGAAAAUCGGUGGUCUCUACUCUGGCCCUUUUGAAUUUUGAUGACUCUAAAAAAUAACAAAUAAAAAAUUAUUGCAUAUUUUCAAUUAUGUCAAAGUCCAAUAUCUCUUCGGUUUCUGUCCUAUAAGCAAAGUGCUGUCAAAUUAUUCCAUCAUGCCAUUUUGUUUUGGUAAAUUACAAUUAUUCUGUCAAAUUGCAUACACCUUAGUUAAUCCGUUUUAUCUGAAUUGUCUUAUGUAAUUUGCUGUCUUCAUUCUCUCAUCAUGGAUCCCUAACAAGCUAACAUUAACAAAUUCAUUACUUUGAUGUCUAAACAAACAGGGAACUGUUGUUCUUGUUUUCCAACCAGCAGAGGAAGGAGGGGCAGGGGCUAAGAGAAUUUUAGAUUCUGGAGCCUUGGAAAAUGUUUCUGCUAUCUUUGGAUUGCAUAUGGCACCUACACCUUUACUUCAAGUAGGUGAAGCGGCUUCCAGAUCUGGUCCUGUUAUGGCAGGAUCUGGUCACUUUGAAGCAAUAAUAAGUGGAAGGGGAGGUCAUGCAGCUAUUCCUCAUUCUACUAUAGACCCGGUGUUGGCGGCUUCCAGUGUGAUUAUUAGCUUACAACAACUUGUUUCUCGCGAGGCUGAUCCUUUGGACUCCGAGGUAAAUUUGGAGCAACUACCCUUUAUAAACACUUAUUAGUCAUAUCUCUAGUCAAUGUGAAACUUCUCAACAGAAGACUUCUUAGUUUACUUACAAUUUCCCCUGUCUUCCUUACAUAGGUUGUGACUGUUGCAACAUUUCAAGGAGGUGGUGCAUUCAAUGUUAUUCCAGAUUAUGUCACAAUUGGAGGAACUUUUAGAGCUUUUUCCAGAGAAAGCUUGGAGCACCUGAAACACCGGAUUGAGCAGGUUAUCAUUGGACAAGCUGCUGUGCAUAGGUGCAAUGCCACUGUGAACUUCUUUGAGGAAGUGAGUCCUUUAUAUCCUCCGACUAUAAAUGAUGCUGGAUUGCACGAGCAGUUUCGUGAUGUUGCGCUGAAUUUGCUUGGCGCCGAUAAAGUUCACUUUGACUUGCCUCCAGUCACGGCUUCUGAAGAUUUUUCAUUCUAUCAAGAGGUCAUGCCUGGCUACUUCUUUUUUCUUGGAAUGCAUAAGCCCUCAAAUGAUCCCCGGGCUCAUAUUUUGCACUCACCGCAUCUCUUUAUCAAUGAAGAAGGACUUCCUUAUGGGGCUGCACUUCAUGCAUCAUUAGCUGUCAAUUAUCUUCAAAAAUAUCAGCAAGACGGAUCCACAGUGGAAGGGAAAUAUCGUGAUGAAUUAUAAUUGUUAUUAAUCAUUAUAAGCUUCCAGUCUUAUAAAAUAAGUUAGAAUUUCCACUUGUAAGAGCAUCAUGAUCUCUUGUUGUAAUCCCUUUUAGGAGUGGGAGUAAGGUUGGAGCAUAUAACAUAGCUCUACUUGAGUUGUCAAACUAAAUAAAUAAAGCAGUCUGCGACUUUUUAAAUUGGGUUUCUAGUUAUAGGAAGUCCAACAUAUUCAAUCUAUCUCAAUCCUUACCUAUUAGCCUAUAAUAUUUCUCACAUGUGUUAUAGAUAUGUUUGUUUUAGUAUAUUGAAGCUUGUUAGCCUAUUGUCAGGGGCUUUGUACACAUAAGCAUUAUGAAACAUACCUUUAAAUAAGUUACCAUACCAUACUUUCAAGUCACACUUAAGCCUUAAAAUUCUGAAGCAGGUCAUGCCUAUUUAUGCAGAGCAUAGCAUGACCUAUCCUAUUUUCAAUGCUGAUUGUUUUGUAGCAGCCUCUUUUAGUUUUGAUGUUCCGAGUCGAUUUGUUUGGAUUUCUGAUUUCUUGACAUUACUGGAGCAUUGUGUUUUGUCAUGUCCUCUUUUAGUUUUGGUCUUCCAAUUGUAGAUUUGUUUGGAAUUCUGAUUUCCUAACAGUACUAAACCAUUGCGUUUAGCACUUUUUUGUUCGCAAAAUUAGUUUUGAUGUGAGCUUCAAGAGUUAAAGAUUAUUCAUGGUAGUUCCUACAUUAUGCUACAAGGCAGAGUGAAGUAUUUUAUUUAGUACUUCUGUGUUGGCAAAAUUAUUUUGUUUUCUCAUUGUUGCCUCAUUUUGGAUUCACCUCUUUCUCUGAUAUUUGCAUACUUUAUCUUCUCAUUGAACUGCACCAAAGACACUCUUUUAUGGACUUACUUAUAGCUACAUACAUGUUUAGUAAGAUAUGGCAGUGAGGAGUGCAUGUGGGCUGACAUAAGAGGGAGUAUAAGCAUGGGAAGUGGGCCCUGACUCUUCAGUACCAUAAUUGUACUGAAUAUUUUCUCCACAUUCUGAGACUUUCAUCAGGAUCCCCUAUUAUGCCCUGGCCUGUUCUGAGUCCAGCAAAGUUUAUAUAACUGGAGAUGGUCUGCUCUGCUCUCCAUCUUAACUAAUUAAAACUUAAAUCUAUUUUUUACGCUUAACUUGAAUUCAAAAGUGCCUCUUCUUGUAACAGAAAAAACUUAAAUUCUAAUGUGUACCUAUCAAUACUAUUAAAUUAUUUUCUUAUCUAUCUAUCUAUAUAUAUUAGAAAAGAACAACUUCUAGCAUGACGUGUCGCUCUCACAGGCCAAGUUAGUGACGUGUCGCUCCGAGAUUAAUUCUCACUUAAUUAUUUACACGUCAGCUUUUCCACCUAUUUAAUUAUUUACACGUCAGCUUUUCCACCUAUUAAUUUUCGGAUUUUUAAUUAAUUAAGGAUUUUAUGAGUUUUUAUUGUGAUUUGCUAGAUUUUGAUAGUUUUUAUCUAUAUUUAUUUAGUACCUUUUUAAAAUUUAGAUUUGAUUAGGAUUUAGGUUGUUUAUUUCUUGAUUUUAUCUUAAUUUAUCUUAUUAUUUAUUUUUAGAGUAUUAUUUAGCUUUUAUCUCUUUAAUGUGAUGAUUAAUGAACAUUUGCAAGAAGUUGUAUUUUCUUUUUCCAAAAAAAAUGUUUUGAAACGUCUGGAUUCCCCAAUUUUCUGCAAUCAUAAUGUUUAUGACUGUAUUUUUUUUAAUCAUGAUGCUCAGAAGAACUCUCUUCUUUAGAGCAAAGGAAAAUGAAGAGCAUUUGCACCUUGAACGAAUCAAGGAUAAGUCAAAACUUUUUCUUUUGGAGGAUGGUGCUAGCAAAGAUAGAAAACACAAUGUAAUGUUAAAAGCUAUUGAAGCUAUUGCUGGAGUCAGAGAAGAGGUGGCAAACUGUUUGAGAUGGUGAAACAUUCUUCCCAUUUUAUUGUUGGUAAAAAGAUUGGAGAACAUGUAAGGUUUUCUGCCCCUUUCAUACUUUCUGAUAUACUUUGCACCUAAAUUUUUGGUUUCAAGUGUGAAAAUGAAGAGCAUUCUAAUGUUUCUCUCUUUUCAGAAUCCUAAGUUUUGUUGUUAAUCCUAUUUAGAAAUCCAUUUACUCCAUCUUGGUCUAAUGCCCAUGGCUGCCGUAGCCAAGCCUCAGUAUUAAGAUACCUUUGGUGGAUGUAUGAGUAUUUAAUUGUUGCAAAUUUGAACAUUGACCUACUUAUCUUACCUCUUUCAUACAACUCUUUACAUAUCUAUUUGCUACUUUGAUUGUUAGGAGAGAUUUUUAACAUUCGAACAAUUUUGACAAUUGGUAUCUAAAGAAAGCUCUAUUAGUAUGACCUUUUUAUCUUCUUUUUGUCUUCUUCACAAGUUAACCAGAUAGAGAGGAUGAUGCAGAAACAAUAUUACACAAACGAAAAUCAGUGACUUAGAUAGAUAAGUGGCUUAGUUAGUUUAACUUUAGUCCCUCUGUAAUUAAGUGAUUAGGUUAGUUAUCAUUUAUGCUCACUAUCUAUCUGAUUCAUUUAUGAGGUAGUUAGUAUUAUAAAAACCUGUAGCAUUUCAGCAAUUGAGAACCUGUGUUUUGGUUUUCUUUCAUUUUUUAAUCUUAUUGUUUUGAAGAGUGAAACACCGAAAUGGUAUGGCAGUGAUACUGUUAAUGUGCUUAGGGAACGACAUUGAGAAAAAGUUUUAUGAUUCUGACUUCCAUAAGCUUAGGGGAUGGCAGUGGUCACUGUAGAUUAAAUUAGCUAUUGGUUAUUAGCCAUCAUUGAUUUUAUUCCCUGAUUAUGUCUCUGAUAGUAAUUGAAAAGUCAAAUUACUAUAAAUGUUUUAUGACCUACAUUACUCCAUACUUACACCACCCCCUGAUUUCUCCUUUUGGUCCUUCUCAUGAUCUAUCCCCCUGAUUUCUCCUUCUCAUAAUUGCACAUAACCUAAGUUAACUCCUUAAUACAAUUUAAAAAUGGCAAGGUAGAUGUCCAGAUAGGUUUCUCUUGGUGAACUUCUAUGCCACAAGAUGAUGGUUUCAAGGAACUGUGAUAAUCUUGCUUCUGUUUUUUAUAAAUACUUAUCUACAUGUAUUUGGUCAAGUCAUUGGACAAUGCAGAGUGUGUAAAAUUGCAGCAUGGUUUGUUUUUUUUUAUUAGAGCAAGUGCAUAAUGGUUGGUGAAAGUCAUGUAGAGAUUACCAUUUCUGUUCCGAAAACCCAAAGCUGUCGGAGCAACUUUUUAUGGUUGGAGGAGCUUACUAAGGUGACUUAUACUGAACAAACAUGGGAGGAGAAGGAUGUUUAUGGUAUUCCUUGAGAGAGCUUGAACAUAAAAGAGGUAUGAGAAGCAAGCCAUUGAGAGCAUGGUCCCUGCAAAUUCCCACUUUUUUUUGUAUUUAUUUGUCUGCAGACUGCUAUUAAUGCAAGGCAGGCCUUCCUCUUUUUACUAACCUGAAUGAUCUCAGUCAUAGAUGCUUGCAGAUACUCCACCAUUCCUUCUGUUUCAUUCUCAUUUAUUUUGAUCUCUAAUUUGUUGUGUUUGGUCAUUGAAAAGAAGUAAGAAUUUUUAAUUUCUUUAGUUUAUCUUUCAUGAAACUACUAUACAUCAUAUCAAUGACUAUAUUAGUUAAAUUUUUUCUUUUAGAAUGUUAACUCCAUAUGCCUUAUUGCUUGAUUAGUUUAUAUAGUUAAAGGAGCUAUAUAAUAAAAUAGGUUAAAGAAAUUAUAAGGUUAUUUAAUUUCUUAAACUUAUGCUCCUCUGUUAUUGAUACUAUGCCUUUUUACUUAAUUUAUUGAUUGAUAAUUAUAAGGUUAAAGGUAACAUCUACAUGUUGUGGUAUGAUUUUUUCUUCUAAAUAAUGCUAAUUAUGUACACUGGAGUUUAGUUUCUCUUUGUUUUGCCAUUUAGACUGCAUUUUUGUUUAUUUUUUGCUGUUGUUUUUUGUUUAUUUUUUAAUUUGCUUUUCUCUUUCUCUAACAAUGUGGUUUAAGGCAGCAUAGCUUCAUUUUUUACUUCUUUUAUGUCCUUUUUUUAUGUAGCUAUGUGUCAAGAUUUUCACUUUGAGGCCAACCUUUUAACUGCAACAGUGAAGCAUUUCACUUUGAGGCUAACCUUUUAGCUGCUGUUUAUGUCCUGUAAUAACUUUUAGAAGAAUAAAAUCAAAUCAUUGAAGCAUAUAUUUUAUGCCAAUAAAAUACACAGAUGAUUUAAACUGAUUGAUUAUUUCUAUUCCCUUUGGACUUGGGAGCAAAGCUCCAACUAUAUAAGUAGGGUUCAAGAAUUUGACUAUUGAAGUUGCGGCAAAGCUUUGCCAACCCUACCAAGUUCUUCAUUGAACAUUGUAGAAUCAGUCCUUGGUGCAUGUGGGAUUAGUACUUUAAAGAGAACAAAUCUCAUAAUUGUGAAUAAUGUCUCUGACAUUGUUAAAGCAGGAUGGUACUACAAACAGGUUAUCCAUAGACUGGAUGGAAUGGAACAACAUUUAGCAAUAGUUUUUUAUAGGUAUUUGACUAUUCUAUGCAGCUUUUCAUUUUAUAGCCCUUUUGGUUUUGGGCAGGAUGACCCUUUAGGGUGGUACAUAAACUUCAACUAGAUAUCGUGUAAAUUAAUGUCAAUGGAUGCUACAGGGGUGCUACUCAUGUUGGAUGGAAUGGAACAACAUUUAGCAAUAGUUUUUUAUAGGUUAUUUGAGUAUUCUAUGCAGCUUUUCAUUUUAUAGCCCUUUUGGUUUUGUGCAGGAUGGCCCUUUAGGGUGGUACAUAUUUUUAUAUAGGACGAAUAACAUAAAGUUCAGCUAGAUAUCAUGUAAAUUAAUGUCAAUGGAUGCUACAGGGGUGCUGCUCAUGUGUUUCAUGUUCACAACAAUUACUGCUUUGGAGCUUGCUUAAAAUAUGAUUGGCCUAAAAUAAUCAUUUUAUGUUUCCCUUCCUCUUCAUUUUUGCUAAGAAAAGUCCCUCUCAAGUCACAAUAAAAGUGAGUGAAAUUCAUCAAUUUUAGACUGCCUUUCAUUUGCUCUUUUUGUUUCAGGGGAUUUGACAGCUUAUGGUAAUUGAUUGGAAUAAUUGCUCUCUCGGACUAUUACUAAAAGAGAAAGGUACCAUGCUCUAGCUCUUUCUGUCUGUCAUCUUUUACUAUAUAUUAAUCACUCAUUAUCUUACCUGAUAUAUAAUGUUAACAGCGCGUCCUCUUUCAAUUCUUAAUUUGUUUAAUAACUUCUUUUGUUCAAUCCAUGGAGUAUGUAGACGUGUUCCCUUGCUAUGUUGAAUAUGUAUUUAUAUAGUGACAUGCCAAUCUAUUGAUUUAUUUCAAAAACUGUCCAUAGAGGUGGAUGCUGAGUUAGUUUCUUUAUUGCAAGAAAUCAGGAUUAGAAUGUGCUAGCAGCAGGUUACCUAUUUAAUCAGGAUUUAGAGAUCCUAUAUUUUCUGUUUUCUUCAAAAUAUCUGAAUUUUUAACAUAUGCCUAAGUUUUGGCUUCUUUACACUAUUCGUUGAUAUUCUGUGGUGAUUUUUCAGCAAAAGUAUAUUCUGAUUGGUUUUAAAUAAUCAUUUUAUGUUUCCCUUUCUCUUCAUUUUAGAUCAAAUAUGUAAGCGGCUCAUAUGAUUCUGGGAAUGUCUUCCUCUUAUUGAAUAAAGAGAUUUCAGAGCAUGAAUAUUUGAAAAUAGUAUAGAGUUCAUCGCUGAGACUUUUCUAUUGGUAACUUUGGUAACUCUUGCUUUUAAGUUUUGGUAAAUUUGCCCACACUUCAUAUUUUCAAAAUUGGAUUUGUGAAUAUUGUUGGAUUUGUCACUUAUUACAGAUUUCAAAUUUAUUUAUAAAUCCCGAUAAAUGCAGUAUUUUAUAUGCUUUGUGUUGUACCCUUUUAAGUUUUUGUGUAAAUGAUGGGUUGCUUGAUCCAAAUCUGGUGCCAAAAGAUGUCAAACUAGAAAUUCUAUCGAAUUAUAUUUUUAUGUCUUUAAAACCUUUUGUUUGUGCUACAUCUUUUUAUGCUAUAUGUUUUUGGUUUUUCUUGCACGGAUAAAACUAAAGUUAUAAAAAUAGUAAUUACUAAUCUGGUGUGAAUAUUUGAUUCAAGCUUUGAUUGAGAUUUAAGGCUUUGUUUUAUAACAGCUUUUGAGAAAUGAUUUAAUUGAGGCCAUGCCCUGUGAAAUGUGAUAUUUUACUUUUUUCAAAUAUCAAACUCUAGGUUUGCUUUUGGGUGAUAUUUAAGCUUAACUAACCACCUUAUUUCAAACUCUAGGAGGUAUGACUCAAUCUUUGUAGCAUUGGGGAAAAUUGGUCUGACAAUAAGUGUUUGGUGGAUUUUUCACCCAAGAGGAAGCUUUGCCAGUUUUCAAGAUUGACCAAGGGAGCUUCUUUAAACGGUCUUGAAGGUCUCCUCCUUGAGCCACCAAGAGAGGCUCUUAACAAUUCAAACAAGAACUUGAAGAUCAAGUACCUGCAGGUACUACUGAGCGCGACAUGCAUAUGUUGGCUUAAAAGGGCUCUUACCAUAAGAGUAGUUGAGAUAAACAUGACUCAUUUAUUUUAGAUAUGGCCAAGAACUUAGGAUUGAGCAAGCAUAUAUGAAUAUUACAAUUUGAGAUUUGUAGGACGAGAUGUUUGAAGGUUCUAUAUUUUAUUAUAUUGUUACCUUAAAUCACAUUAGAAGGUUUGACUUGCGUUGGGUUUCACUCGAAGUAAAGCAUAGAAAAAAGAACGUCAGGUAAGCAUACAGAGUAAAAUGCUAGAUACGAAGAGCAUACUCUAUGUUGUUGAAUUUCGUAGUUCUUGGACAUGGUGUUGGAAGGAGUAAACGUCUUCCACGAAGGGAUAUUUUAUAUGAAAAUGAUUGUGUUAAAAUUAAUAGAAAAAAAUUAAUAUAAUUAAUUUUAGUAUUUUUAAAAAAAUUUAAGAGGGUAUAUUUAUAUAUGUAUAUAACUAUAAUAGUUUGAUAGUUAAAAUAGUAUGAGGAAUAAAAAAUAUGAAUACAUAUGUACUAUAGAUUUAUGACCUAAAUUUAUUAGUGCUAACAUAUUCGAGUUAUGAGAUCUCACGGGAAGGAACAUUUUACAUGAUAAAUGAAAAAUGUGUACACAUAGUUAAAAAAACAUUUUUAUAUAACUUAAGUGUAUUUUUAAUAAUGUAAACAAUAAUUAUAUAUUUAUGUAUUGUUACAUAUCUAAAACACAAAAGCAAUACCCUUUAUGCAACACAAGUAUACAUCUUCGCAACCAAAAUUCAGUUUUUUAUUUAUUGUAAAUCAUGUCAAACAAAGCAUCAAAGGUUGUUGGCAUCACUUCCUUGCGGAUAAACUGGGGAUCAUGGCUUACAUGAGCACAGAGCACACCAAAGUGGAUUGGACACCACAUUUGUCACUCAAAACCUUAAGGCAAACAAAAUUCAGUUAUACCUCAUAUAUGCAAAACUUAAAUAUUUUGGCCUAAUAACUUUUGUGUUUUUCAAAAUCUUUAUAUUAGUCUAUUCAGUGUAUGCUUACAAAAUACUAGAAUUGAGUGUCUAAAUUUGUGCUCUUUAAAUAUCUACAUCUUUAUUAUGAUUGUUCUUACAUUCUUAGCAUUUUAAAUAUUUUAUAAUUUAAAAUAUUAAUCGAUGUAUCAAAUACAAUAGACAAAUUUCCCGUGCAACGCGCGGGUAAAAAACACUAGUUAAAAAUAAAUAAAUCAAUACUACUAAACAACUCAUAGUGCCUCCAACUCAUAAUUUUUGUAGGCUUAAUAACACUUUUGGUCCCUCACAUUUGCCAUAUGUGCGAAAAUCGUCCCCUAAGUAAGAAAAUAGCAAAAAUAAUCCCUCACUUUGUUAAACGACAACAUUUUCGGUCCCUCGUCACUAUUCCGUUUACUUUCAUUCAAAUUUUAACGAUUUUUAGAAAUAAAAAUAAAAAUAAAAAAUAAAAUAAUAAUGUAAACACAGAAAAAUAUCAAUAAUCAUCUUCUUCCAGCAUAAUCUGCAUCAAUUUCAUCUUUAUCUAAAAAUACUAGAAAAACUCUAUGCUUCUUUCCUCACCAUCUCUUAACACUGAAAAAACCCAAGAAAAGUUCCUCAGAAACCAUGGGUUCGACCAUCUCUCCAAAACAUCAUAAAUUUUAUGGGUUUUCAUUUUUUUUAUUUUUUUAUCAAUUUUAUUCAGAAAACUGUUAAAUAUUUGACAGAAAACGUUAGUUUAUUGACGGAACAGUGAUGAAGGACCAAAAGUGCUGCCGUUUGACAAAGUGAGGGACAUUUUUUGCUAUUUUCUUACUUAGGGGACGAUUUUCACACAUAGGACAAACGUGAGGGACCAAAAGUGCUAUUAAGCCAUUUUUGUAACAUCUCAUUUCCUAUGAUCUUUAAAAGAAACAUCUCAUUUCCUAUAGCAAAGCCAAUUUAUCUCGUACUCAUCUAAAAGUGGAAAGGUUUCAUACCCUUUAGGUUUAAUUUGCCAUGAUUUCUUCUAUAACAAAUUUUUAUAAUUUGCGACUUAGUUAUUUGUACUCUAAAUAAUGAACCGAAUGAUUCCAAACCCUCUCAUUUUGAAAGGGCGCACGAUCAAUGCCCCAUAUUUAAUAUCUACAACUGAACACUCUUCUUUUCCUGCUCUAACUCUUGUUAUUGCAAAAAAAACUAUUGUUAUUGCAGGUAUGUGCACGUAAGUGCCUCAAACAAUUUUCUAAAGCACAAAUUCUGUUAGAAAGCAUUGAAGAGGCGUGGCCCGUGGAGUGAACCUGCAUGCCGCUCUGUUCAAUUUAAGAAGGUUGUUUUCCUUCAUUUCAUUCUUCCCACACCAACAAAAACAAUGUCUUCCUUCAACCGCUUCCAUUUUUUCAUUAUCAUUUUGCAAGUCUUUGCUACAAUUCCCAUUCUCUCAUUAGCAGAUUCCAGCUCCCUCACCCCAAAUCAGCUCUUCACCAACUUCCUUGACACUGCCAAGAACCCUGAGCUUUUUGAUUGGAUGGUCACAAUCAGAAGGAAGAUACAUCAGUUUCCGGAGUUGGGCUAUGAAGAAUUUCAGACCAGUGAAGUGAUAAGAACAGAAUUGGAUAAGUUGGGGAUCCCCUAUAAACACCCUGUUGCAGUCACCGGUGUUAUUGGCUUCAUAGGGACUGGAAAUUCGCCUUUCGUCGCCUUAAGAGCUGAUAUGGAUGCUCUACGCAUGCCGGUAACUUUGAAAAGUUCUAUUUGAAUCAGGGUUGACUUUUGAUUUCAUUUGACAAUGUAUGUAUUAAACUGCAGGAAUUGGUUGAUUGGGAGUACAAGAGUCAAGUACCUGGAAAGAUGCACGCAUGUGGUCAUGACGCUCAUAUGACCAUGCUUCUUGGUGCUGCAAAUAUGCUGAAACAGCGCGAACAAGAGAUAAAUGUAUGACCACAAACAGUUUCUGAUAAAUUUCUGUAUACUGUUAUACUUAUAUAUGUUCUGCAUUGUUGUCUUAUUUUGUUGUUUUCAUCCUCUCAUGGAUCAUCACUUUGAUGUCUAAACAAACAGGGAACCAUUGUGCUUGUUUUCCAACCAGCAGAGGAAGGAGGUGCAGGGGCUAAGAAAAUUGUUGAAUCUGGAGCCUUGGAAAAUGUAUCUGCUAUCUUUGGAUUGCAUGUGCUACCAACGCUUCCAGUUGGUGAAGUGGCUUCUAGAUCUGGUCCUUUAAUGGCAGGGUCUGGUCGCUUUGAAGCAAUUAUCAAUGGAAAGGGAGGUCAUGCAGCUCUUCCUCAUACUGCUAUUGACCCGAUUUUGGCUGCUUCUAAUGUAGUUAUUAGCUUACAAUACCUAGUUUCCCGCGAGGCUGAUCCUUUGGAACCCCAGGUAAAUUAUGUUUAUUAAAAAGUCUCAUAUUGACUAGAGAUAUAGCUAAUAAGUGUUUAUGAAGUAUAAAACAACCCUCACCUAAGAGUUAGACCUACCGAAUUCUAAGAUUAUUUGCCAUGGCCACUCAUGAUUUACAUUUAUUUAGAAUCCUCCUUUGUCUUCCUUACAUAGGUUGUGACAGUUGCAAAGUUUGAAGGAGGUGGCACAUUCAAUGUUAUUCCAGAUUAUGUCAAAAUUGGAGGAACCUUCAGAGCUUUUUCCACAAAAAGCUUGGAGUACCUGAAACAGCGCAUUGAACAGGUUAUCAUUGCACAAGCUGCAGUGCAGAGAUGCAAUGCAACUGUGAGCUUCUUUGAGGAAGUGAGUCCUUCAUAUCCUCCCACUAUUAAUGAUGGUGACUUGCACGAAAAGUUUCGCGAUGUUGCAGAGAGUUUGCUUGGCGCUGAUAAAGUUCACCUCAACCUUCCACCAGUCACUGCUGCUGAAGACUUUUCAUUCUAUCAAAAGGUCAUAC